This 321-nucleotide ribosomal RNA is filed under the name uncultured eukaryote. RNAcentral's name for it is "partial 18S ribosomal RNA". It matches the Rfam family "Eukaryotic small subunit ribosomal RNA", at positions 1470 to 1796 of the family's 1831-position model. The record is from RNAcentral.
CCCUUAGAUGUCCUGGGCCGCACGCGCGCUACACUGACAUGUUCAACAAGCCUCCUAGUUCGACAGGAUUUGGGAAAUCUUUGAACGCAUGUCGUGAUAGGGAUAGAUCAUUGCAAUUAUUGAUCUUGAACGAGGAAUUCCUAGUAAACGCGAGUCAUCAGCUCGCAUUGAUUACGUCCCUGCCCUUUGUACACACCGCCCGUCGCACCUACCGAUUGAAUGUUUCGGUGAAGAUUCCGGAUAGGACUUUUUUGAUUUAUUUCAUUUUUGUCUUAAAAGCUAUCUAAACCUCAACAUUUAGAGGAAGGUGAAGUCGUAACA